RNAcentral lists this long non-coding RNA (745 nucleotides) under Homo sapiens (human). Its description in RNAcentral is "HSALNT0403192". Lineage: Eukaryota; Metazoa; Chordata; Mammalia; Primates; Hominidae. The record is from RNAcentral.
ACUCUAUUAUCUUUGCUCAAAGAGCAGACAGUGCUCUAGCUGUUUUCCCCUGCUUAGCUUUGAUCCCUGCAGCCAUGCUCAGCCCUUCCCCCAAGCCCUCCCUUCCAGAUGGAUUGAGGCUGUUGAGACUCCAGGGGUGUUCGGGGCUGGGAGCCUGCUGAGUGUUCCCUGUUCCCACCUCCAAUCUGCUCCAUCCUCCAGCUGCAUUUCAUUCCGGAUCUACCAGAUACAGAAGAUGAGAGAGAGAAAAAGAGAGAAAUUACAGAGUGACGGAGAAGGCAGACAUCAUGCAACAUGCUCAAGGGCUAUUCAUUUUAAGCUGAAACAUACAUGUGUAGAAAGCAUCCUUGUACUUAUAAUCCCAAUGACUAUGAAGAAAAAUAAUUUAGCCAAAUAGUUCCUAGAACAGGAAAAAUAAGGAAUUAUAUUUUGAGAUAAGAAGUUAAGCUCUAGUAUAACAAUGAUAUGGGUCAAAGAAAAAUGAAAACAAAUUUUAAAAACGUUGCAACAUGAAUAAAAGUUUCACCAAAUCGGGAGUCUAUUAUAAGCAUGUUUUGAGUUAUUUUCUUUCCCAAAGACUUCAUUUUUGUUUCAAUUUAUUUCAGUAGUAUACACUUCUGAAAAUAUUUAACUAAUGUCGUACUGGUUCUCGUAAAAGGUGAGGUGGAGCAAUUCCAUUAAGCUAUAGUGAGGUGAAGAGAGAAUAUCUGGUGAAUGAAUUUGAAAUAAGCUCCUUCGCGAUAUG